Molecule: ribosomal RNA, 497 nt
Filed under: uncultured bacterium
Lineage: Bacteria
Description: partial 16S ribosomal RNA
Rfam family: Bacterial small subunit ribosomal RNA
Source: RNAcentral
GAUGAGCGCUGGCGGCGUGCCUAAUACAUGCAAGUCGAGCGAACGGACGAGAAGCUUGCUUCUCUGAUGUUAGCGGCGGACGGGUGAGUAACACGUGGAUAACCUACCUAUAAGACUGGGAUAACUUCGGGAAACCGUAGCUAAUACCGGAUAAUAUUUUGAACCGCAUGGUUCAAAAGUGAAAGACGGUCCUGCUGUCACUUAUAGAUGGAUCCGCGCUGCAUUAGCUAGUUGGUAAGGUAACGGCUUACCAAGGCAACGAUGCAUAGCCGACCUGAGAGGGUGAUCGGCCACACUGGAACUGAGACACGGUCCAGACUCCUACGGGAGGCAGCAGUAGGGAAUCUUCCGCAAUGGGCGAAAGCCUGACGGAGCAACGCCGCGUGAGUGAUGAAGGUCUUCGGAUCGUAAAACUCUGUUAUUAGGGAAGAACAUAUGUGUAAGUAACUGUGCACAUCUUGACGGUACCUAAUCAGAAAGCCACGGCUAACUACGUG